GAUAAACGCUGGCGGCGUGCAUAACACAUGCAAGUCGAACGAUGAAACUUAGAUGAUUUCUUCGGAAUGAACUUAAGCGGAUUAGUGGCGAACGGGUGAGUAACACGUGAGUAACCCGCCUUACACAAGGGGAUAGCCUUUGGAAACGAAGAAUAAUACCCUAUAACGUCAAUUUAUCGCAUGAUAGAAUGACCAAAGAUUUAUCGGUGUAAGAUGGACUUGCGUCUGAUUAGCUAGUUGGUGAGAUAAAGGCCCACCAAGGCAACGAUCAGUAGCCGGCUUGAGAGAGUGUACGGCCACAUUGGGACUGAGACACGGCCCAAACUCCUACGGGAGGCAGCAGUGGGGAAUUUUGCACAAUGGGGGAAACCCUGAUGCAGCGACGCCGCGUGAUUUAGAAGGCCUUCGGGUUGUAAAAAUCUUUUUUAUGGGAUGAAAAUGACAGUACCAUAAGAAUAAGGUCCGGCUAAAUACGUGCCAGCAGCCGCGGUAAUACGUAUGGACCGAGCGUUGUCCGGAAUCAUUGGGCGUAAAGGGUACGUAGGCGGCCCAGUAAGUUAGAAGUGAAAUAAUAUAGCUCAACUAUAUAAAGCUUUUAAAACUGCUAGGCUUGAGAGAUGGAAGGGAAAGUGGAAUUCCUAGUGUAGCGGUGAAAUGCGCAGAUAUUAGGAAGAAUACCGGUGGCGAAGGCGACUUUCUGGUCAUCAUCUGACGCUGAGGUACGAAAGCGUGGGUAGCAAACAGGAUUAGAUACCCUGGUAGUCCACGCUGUAAACGAUGAGUGUUAGGUUCUUGGAAUAAUCUGGGAGCCGCAGCUAACGCAUUAAACACUCCGCCUGGGGAGUACGCACGCAAGUGUG
RNAcentral lists this ribosomal RNA (860 nucleotides) under uncultured Clostridia bacterium. Its description in RNAcentral is "bacterial SSU rRNA". It matches the Rfam family "Bacterial small subunit ribosomal RNA", at positions 28 to 896 of the family's 1533-position model. The record is from RNAcentral. Lineage: Bacteria; Bacillati; Bacillota; Clostridia.